Molecule: transfer RNA, 73 nt
Filed under: Camelus bactrianus (Bactrian camel)
Lineage: Eukaryota; Metazoa; Chordata; Mammalia; Artiodactyla; Camelidae
Also listed under: 2 other names
Rfam family: tRNA
About the family: Transfer RNA (tRNA) molecules are approximately 80 nucleotides in length. Their secondary structure includes four short double-helical elements and three loops (D, anti-codon, and T loops). Further hydrogen bonds mediate the characteristic L-shaped molecular structure. tRNAs have two regions of fundamental functional importance: the anti-codon, which is responsible for specific mRNA codon recognition, and the 3' end, to which the tRNAs corresponding amino acid is attached (by aminoacyl-tRNA synthetases). tRNAs cope with the degeneracy of the genetic code in two manners: having more than one tRNA (with a specific anti-codon) for a particular amino acid; and 'wobble' base-pairing, i.e. permitting non-standard base-pairing at the 3rd anti-codon position.
Source: Rfam by way of RNAcentral
GAAGGUAUAGCUCAAGUGGUAGAGCACAUGCUUAGCAUGCACAAGGUCCUGGGUUCAAUCCCCAGUAUCGCCU